AACGCACCUUGCGCCCUUUGGUAUUCCGAAGGGCAUGCCUGUUUGAGUGUCAUUAAAUUAUCAACCUUGUUCGCUUUUGCGAGCUUGAGCAAGGCUUGGAUGUGAGGGCUUGCUGGCUUCCUUCAGUGGAUGGUCUGCUCCCUUUAAAUGCAUUAGUGGGAUCUCUUGUGGACCGUCACUUGGUGUGAUAAUUAUCUAUGCCAGUUGACUUUGAAGCAAACUUUAUGGGAACCCGCUCAUAACCGUCUCGCAAGAGACAAUUUUUUAUUGACUUGACCUCAAAUCAGGUAGGACUACCCGCUGAACUUAA
Molecule: unclassified non-coding RNA, 310 nt
Filed under: Sclerococcum sp.
Lineage: Eukaryota; Fungi; Ascomycota; Eurotiomycetes; Sclerococcales; Dactylosporaceae
Description: partial contains 5.8S ribosomal RNA, internal transcribed spacer 2, and large subunit ribosomal RNA
Rfam family: 5.8S ribosomal RNA (bases 1-52)
Source: RNAcentral